UUGCUCACAUCCUCUGUGAUGCACAUGCAACAGCAUUGAUUUGGUUCAUUGGUUCGUGCUGGGAAGCUAAGACAUCCUGCAGGGAUAUUAACACAAUGUUGAUGGGAAAAUGAGAGGUCUGAUAAUUGGAGACAGCAUCUCAGAGGAUGGAGAGCCAAAAAACACAGUCUGAGAAACCUGAUCCAGGCCUUUCACAGUCCUUAGGAACAUAUUUAUCAUAUUACGAGCAUGAAGAAAUGAAAAGAGAUGGCAGUCGUCCUGACAGUGAGACAGAGGAAAACAAGGACUCAUCAUCUCAGAUUGUCUCAUGUGCCCAUGCAGAUUCAGCUCCCGACCGGGAGUGGUUCCCAGAGGGACGGUUCGUCUGGCUUGUUGUCCUGGCAGCCAUCUGGUGCAAUGGAUCAAUCUUUGGGAUUCAGAAGUCUUUUGGAAUCAUACAUAUGAUGCUUGUUAAAGCUCACGAGGACUCAAAUAAUGAAGUUUCUCAGUUUGCAACAGCCUGGGUUGGUGCUCUGGCCAUGGGUAUGGUCUUUCUCUGCUCCCCCCUGGUCAGUAUUGUCACUGAUCACGUUGGCUGCAGGGUGACGGCCAUUUGUGGGUCCCUUGUGGCUUUCUUGGGACUUCUGACAAGUUCAUUCACCAUGUCGUUAGGUUUGUGGUACUUCACCUAUGGGGUUCUGUUUGGCUGUGGCUCCUCCUUUGUCUUCUUGCCUUCUCUGGUGACCCUGGGACACUACUUCCCUCAGCGCCUCGGCCUGGUCAACGGGGUGGUGAUGGCAGGCAGCAGUGUUUUCUCCAUAAGCCUGCCUGCCCUGCUGGAGGAGGUGGGGACACCGCUGGGCCUCAGCACCACCUUUCAGAUCCUCAGUGCCCUCAUGCUAAUCCAGGCAGCCCUGGCAUUCUCCUUCUGCUCACGCCUUUACCACAGGAAUUUGUCCACUAACACGGCCCAGCUUUCAUCUGCCAACCUGAGCAGUGGCUGGCAGCAGGGCCUGACACAGACCAGGAGGUACUGCAACCUGGGAGUGUUUCACCUCCCUAAUUACAGGGUGUGGGCUUUUGGAGUGGCUACGGCUAUGCUGGGCAACUUUGUGCCCUACAUUUACCUGAUGAGUUUUGUGGAGGAGCAGUUUGUGGAGACGCCAGUGAAGGAGUGGGUCCUCCUGGUGUGUAUCGGGGUGACCUCCUGCGUAGGACGCCUGCUGUUUGGCAGGGUGGGAGACCUGCUCCAUGGGGCACACAAGAUCUACCUUCAGGCAGGCUCCUUCAUGGUGCUUGGCUUGGCGUCUAUGCUGGUCCCUCUGUGUGUCAGAUUUGAGGGGCUGGUUGCAGUGUGUCUACUGCUGGGGCUGUGUGACGGCUGCGUCAUCACCCUCAUGGCCCCUGUGACAUUUGAACUGGUGGGCCCCCAGAGAGCCUCCCAGGCCAUCGGCUACCUGAUGGGCCUAAUGGCCCUCCCCAUGACCGCCGGACCCCCCCUCGCAGGGCUACUCCAUGACCACUUUGGAGAUUACCACAUGGCCUUCUACCUGGCUGGGGUUCCUCCCAUGGUCGGAGGUUUCCUACUCUUCUUUGUCCCGAAUAUUCAUCAAUGCCUGCUGGAGGGCCAGCAAGAAACCCUCUCCAGACCCAGCCCUGACCUCCAGCUAUCCCCUCCUGGCUCGAACCACCAGUCCCCUCUCAUCCCUGGUCACCAGCUCCCCCCAACCAGCCCUGACCUCCAGUUAUCCCCCCUUGGCUCGGACCACCAGUCCCCUCCCAUCCCUGGUCACCAGCUCCCCCCAACCAGCACUGACCUCCAGCUAUCCCCCCGUGGCUCGGACCACCAGUCCCCUCCCAUCCCUGGUCACCAGCUCCCCCCAACCAGCCCUGACCUCCAGUUAUCCCCCCUUGGCUCGGACCACCAGUCCCCUCCCAUCCCUGGUCACCAGCUCCCCCCAACCAGCCCUGACCUCCAGCUAUCCCCCCGUGGCUCGGACCACCAGUCCCCUCCCAUCCCUGGUCACCAGCUCCCCCCAACCAGCCCUGACCUCCAGUUAUCCCCCCUUGGCUCGGACCACCAGUCCCCUCCCAUCCCUGGUCACCAGCUCCCCCCAACCAGCACUGACCUCCAGUUAUCCCCCCUUGGCUCGGACCACCAGUCCCCUCCCAUCCCUGGUCACCAGCUCCCCCCAACCAGCCCUGACCUCCAGCUAUCCCCCCGUGGCUCGGACCACCAGUCCCCUCCCAUCCCUGGUCACCAGCUCCCCCCAACCAGCCCUGACCUCCAGCUAUCCCCCCGUGGCUCGGACCACCAGUCCCCUCCCAUCCCUGGUCACCAGUUCCCCCCAACCAGCACUGACCUCCAGCUAUCCCCUCCUGGCUCGGACCACCAGUCCCCUCUCAUCCCUGGUCACCAGCUCCCCCCAACCAGCCCUGACCUCCAGCUAUCCCCCCUUGGCUCGGACCACCAGUCCCCUCCCAUCCCUGGUCACCAGCUCCCCCCAACCAGCCCUGACCUCCAGUUAUCCCCCCUUGGCUCGGAUCACCAGUCCCCUCCCAUCCCUGGUCACCAGCUCCCCUCAACCAGCCCUGACCUCCAGUUAUCCCCCCUUGGCUCGGACCACCAGUCCCCUCCCAUCCCUGGUCACCAGCUCCCCCCAACCAGCCCUGACCUCCAGCUAUCCCCCCGUGGCUCGAACCACCAGUCCCCUCCCAUCCCUGGUCACCAGCUCCCCCCAACCAGCCCUGACCUCCAGCUAUCCCCUCCUGGCUCGGACCACCAGUCCCCUCUCAUCCCUGGUCACCAGCUCCCCCCAACCAGCCCUGACCUCCAGCUAUCCCCUCCUGGCUCACACCACCAGUCCCCUCUCAUCCCUGGUCACCAGCUCCCCCCAACCAGCCCUGACCUCCAGCUAUCCCCCCUUGGCUCGGACCACCAGUCCCCUCCCAUCCCUGGUCACCAGCUCCCCCCAACCAGCCCUGACCUCCAGUUAUCCCCCCUUGGCUCGGACCACCAGUCCCCUCCCAUCCCUGGUCACCAGCUCCCCCCAACCAGCCCUGACCUCCAGUUAUCCCCUCCUGGCUCGGACCACCAGUCCCCUCCCAUCCCUGGUCACCAGCUGCCCCCAACCAGCCCUGACUAAUCGUCCCCUCCCAUCCCUGGUCAUCACCAUCGCUGCCAGGACUCAAGAAUGUUGACAAAAGUGUGCUGGAGUCGGAGCAGAUCCGAACCAGCUUCAACUCAUUCCAUAAUCAAGACCUCUACAAAUACUCAGUCCUGCCAGUUCCACUCUGCCAGAUUGUAAUCUCUGCUCAGUCAGCUCAUGAUUCUAGCCAUAAAUAUGAUUAUUCAAGAUCCUGUUACGCUGCUGUGCCUGUUUCCCUGCCUGACACUGUUUAUCCUCUCAUUGUAGUUACCGCUCUGUCUCUGGCUCCUGCUCCACAUCUCACCACCCAACUACCUUACUCUGGAUUUUACUCACCACCACUACCUUGGAUUCCCCUCAGGACCUGUUCACCCUGUUCUACUCAGCUAACUUCAACCUCAGUCUCCACAUCUGGUUUUCUGCAACUCAUCCGAGCUUCCCCGGAUCUGCACUCCAUAUCUCUCUGUGCAACAAAUAUUUUGAUUCAUUCAUCCCUGUUUCCUCAUCUGAGUCUGCUUUUGGGUUCCCCUGUGUCCCUCCGCUUAACAAUUGGUUCUCCAACCAUUCAAAAGCUAGAGCCAAAUUCGAA
Molecule: RNA transcript, 3717 nt
Organism: Oncorhynchus kisutch (coho salmon)
Lineage: Eukaryota; Metazoa; Chordata; Actinopteri; Salmoniformes; Salmonidae
Gene name: monocarboxylate transporter 8
Exons: 7
Source: RefSeq, a predicted model, not a curated record